RNAcentral lists this unclassified non-coding RNA (219 nucleotides) under uncultured Basidiomycota. RNAcentral's name for it is "sequence contains ITS2". The record is from RNAcentral. Lineage: Eukaryota; Fungi; Basidiomycota.
ACACCUCAACUCUCACGGUUUCCCGUGACGAGCUUGGACUUGGGAGUUUUGUUGGCCUGCGGUCAGCUCUCCUCAAAUGAAUUAGCUUGCCGGUGUCUGGCGGCAUCAUGGGUGUGAUAACCAUCUACGCUUGUGAAUGUCUGCGAGGUAAACCUCUGGUCUGCAGGGGUUCGCUGGAGCUUAUAGGCCGUCUCUCCUUGGCGAAGACAGCAGUUUGAA